Molecule: ribosomal RNA, 252 nt
Filed under: uncultured prokaryote
Description: partial 16S rRNA
Rfam family: Archaeal small subunit ribosomal RNA
Source: RNAcentral
ACCGGCAGCUCAAGUGGUGGCCAUUAUUAUUGGGCCUAAAGCGUUCGUAGCCGGUUUGAUAAGUCUCUGGUGAAAUCCCGCAGCUUAACUGUGGGACUUGCUGGAGAUACUAUCAGGCUUGAGGUCGGGAGAGGUUAGGGGUACUCCCAGGGUAGGGGUGACAUCCUAUAAUCCUGGGAGGACCACCGGUGGCGAAGGCGCCUAACUGGAUCGACCCUGACGGUGAGUAACGAAAGUCAGGGGCUCGAACCG